This is a long non-coding RNA of Herpailurus yagouaroundi (jaguarundi), 1012 nucleotides long. RefSeq lists it as uncharacterized. NCBI's taxonomy places the organism in Eukaryota, Metazoa, Chordata, Mammalia, Carnivora, Felidae. The transcript is spliced from 3 exons. The record is from RefSeq and is a predicted model, not a curated record.
UUUCUAUUCCUUUCUGUGUGUGUCUGCAGCAUCAUUUUAUGACAUACAAACCAGAUUUUGAGUGGGUUCCACCCUGCCUCUGCAGAAUGUUCUAAGGAGCAAGGAUCUGCGGAAACUAGGACAACGCUCCCUCAGUACGAUAUUUGCAUGGGCGCUUCUGAUGCUUCUCAUUUAUUCCUCACGUGCUGAUCUCCAUGGACAUUUACUUUUGCAGCCGACUACCUUAAAACACAUGACAAAUGCUAGUAUGCAGCCUAGAGCCUGGAAACAGGAAUUUAGGCUGAGCCCUGGAUGUGGUGGUGGUGCCUGCCUGCAGACUGUGGCGCCGGCGGCCUGAGAUGACUGUAUGCUUGACUGAAGCAAAACGGAUAGGAAGUCCAAACAAGGAAUCCAUCCGAAGAGCCUGGACUUAAAUGUAGAGGCAAUGCAUAAACAUGCAAAAGGUAAAUGAAAGAUGAAAGCCAAACCAGAGAACAUAAGGUGAUGACACAGAAGCUCUGAUAAUUUCUGGAAGUAUGGAGCUGGAGAUUUCUUGAACUCAUGUAAGCACACACGUGUGUGCACUUGUGUGUUUGUGUGGUUUGUCUCACGUGUCGCCCAUUCUUAUUCUGUUAAAAAAAUGCCAACCAUGUCUCGAAUUCAGGAGAUGAACAGGAUCCAAACUAGAAUACCUGAUUCAUUCUCCAAGGUUUAGUGAGUACAACUAGUGGGAAAGGUUUUUCCUGACAGGCCAUGAAAUUGUUAGUGUGAAUUCAGAACUACCAGCAACAUAUCCUAAUGCAGAUAGCCUUGACUGCUCUAAAAUACAGCUAAAAUAACCUAGGAAGGAAAUCAUAAAAGACUAAUGCAGAGAGAAUCCUGAAGACAUUCAGUUUUCCAGUUCUAUUCAACCUCAGUAUCACCUUUGCCCUUCCUGGAUAUGUGAACCAAUAAAUCUCAUUUUGAACUUGAGCUAGUUUGCAUCGACUUUCUGUCAGGUACUACUAGAGAAUAGUGGCUAUUACAGAGGACU